GGGGAAUUUUGGACAAUGGGCGCAAGCCUGAUCCAGCCAUGCCGCGUGCGGGAAGAAGGCCUUCGGGUUGUAAACCGCUUUUGUCAGGGAAGAAAUCUUCUGGGAUAAUACCUCGGGAGGAUGACGGUACCUGAAGAAUAAGCACCGGCUAACUACGUGCCAGCAGCCGCGGUAAUACGUAGGGUGCAAGCGUUAAUCGGAAUUACUGGGCGUAAAGCGUGCGCAGGCGGUUGUGCAAGACAGGUGUGAAAUCCCCGGGCUUAACCUGGGAACUGCACUUGUGACUGCACGGCUGGAGUACGGCAGAGGGGGAUGGAAUUCCGCGUGUAGCAGUGAAAUGCGUAGAUAUGCGGAGGAACACCGAUGGCGAAGGCAAUCCCCUGGGCCUGUACUGACGCUCAUGCACGAAAGCGUGGGGAGCAAAC
This 425-nucleotide ribosomal RNA is filed under the name uncultured bacterium. RNAcentral describes it as "bacterial SSU rRNA". It matches the Rfam family "Bacterial small subunit ribosomal RNA", at positions 356 to 773 of the family's 1533-position model. The record is from RNAcentral.